GCGAAGAGCACCCAAUGGUCUCAGUGAAAUUCUGUUUCCCUUCACAAAUGUGCUGGAAGAGAAUUAAUCCAUUCCUGCCUCCUAGCAACCACUUACCAUUACAACUAAGGCCAAGACAGCAAGUAAACAUCCGCUGUCUGCUGCUCCACUCAGAAUUGUCACAGGGGAAAGGAUGCUGUCAUAAAUCACUACGAAAUGGUGUUGAAUUCUAUUUACACCGCACGCAGUUGCAGAAAGCCGACAGCUCCCAAAGGCAAGCUUCACUGGGGAAGAGCUGUUUGACAAAGGACUCGGGUUGACCCUGUUUCAGCACAGAUUUCUGUGAAACCAUCUGCAGCAGACAGACG
This 347-nucleotide long non-coding RNA is filed under the name Anser brachyrhynchus (Pink-footed goose). RNAcentral's name for it is "lncRNA (ENSABRG00000006067.1)". The record is from RNAcentral. Lineage: Eukaryota; Metazoa; Chordata; Aves; Anseriformes; Anatidae.